Small nucleolar RNA from Lactuca sativa (garden lettuce), 107 nucleotides. Lineage: Eukaryota; Viridiplantae; Streptophyta; Magnoliopsida; Asterales; Asteraceae. The record is from RefSeq and is a predicted model, not a curated record.
AGAUCAUGAUGUGGGCAGUUCCUUAGUAAGCCUUUGUACCUUUCCCAUGCCUCAUAUAGUGACUCUCCUGCUUGUUGCUCAAAGUUUGCUAUGGCCUUCUUUAACUU